RNAcentral lists this ribosomal RNA (259 nucleotides) under uncultured bacterium. Its description in RNAcentral is "partial 16S ribosomal RNA". It matches the Rfam family "Bacterial small subunit ribosomal RNA", at positions 335 to 590 of the family's 1533-position model. The record is from RNAcentral.
CAUCCUACGGGAGGCAGCAGUGAGGAAUAUUGGUCAAUGGGCGGAAGCCUGAACCAGCCAAGUCGCGUGAGGGAAGAAGGCCCUGCGGGUCGCAGACCUCUUUGGACGGGGAGCAAGGCCGCCGACGUGUCGGCGGAAGGAGAGUACCCGUAGAACAAGCAUCGGCUAACUCCGUGCCAGCAGCCGCGGUAAUACGAAGGAUGCGAGCGUUGUCCGGAUUGAUUGGGUUUAAAGCGUGCGCAGUCGGCACGGCAAGCCG